CGGGACGGGUGAGUAAUGUCUGGGAAACUGCCUGAUGGAGGGGGAUAACUACUGGAAACGGUAGCUAAUACCGCAUAACGUCGCAAGACCAAAGAGGGGGACCUUCGGGCCUCUUGCCAUCGGAUGUGCCCAGAUGGGAUUAGCUAGUAGGUGGGGUAAUGGCUCACCAAGGCCACGAUGCAUAGCCGACCUGAGAGGGUGAUCGGCCACACUGGAACUGAGACACGGUCCAG
RNAcentral lists this ribosomal RNA (233 nucleotides) under uncultured bacterium. RNAcentral describes it as "partial 16S ribosomal RNA". It matches the Rfam family "Bacterial small subunit ribosomal RNA", at positions 100 to 334 of the family's 1533-position model. The record is from RNAcentral.